CCUACGGGUGGCAGCAGUGAGGAAUAUUGGUCAAUGGACGAGAGUCUGAACCAGCCAAGUAGCGUGAAGGAUGACUGCCCUAUGGGUUGUAAACUUCUUUUAUAUGGGAAUAAAACGUUCCACGUGUGGGAUUUUGUAUGUACCAUAUGAAUAAGGAUCGGCUAACUCCGUGCCAGCAGCCGCGGUAAUACGGAGGAUCCGAGCGUUAGCCGGAUUUAUUGGGUUUAAAGGGAGCGUAGGUGGAUUGUUAAGUCAGUUGUGAAAGUUUGCGGCUCAACCGUAAAAUUGCAGUUGAUACUGGCAGUCUUGAGUACAGUAGAGGUGAGCGGAAUUCGUGGUGUAGCGGUGAAAUGCUUAGAUAUCACGAAGAACACCGAUUGCGAAGGCAGUUCACUGGACUGCAACUGACACUGAGGCUCGAAAGUGUGGGUAUCAAACAGGAUUAGAUACCCUGGUAGUC
Molecule: ribosomal RNA, 460 nt
Filed under: uncultured bacterium
Lineage: Bacteria
Description: partial 16S ribosomal RNA
Rfam family: Bacterial small subunit ribosomal RNA
Source: RNAcentral